GUAGUCCACGCCCUAAACGAUGUCUACUUGCUGUUGGGGGUAAAACCUAAGUAGCGAAGCAAACGCGAGAAGUAGACCGCCUGGGGAGUACGGUCGCAAGAUUAAAACUCAAAGGAAUUGACGGGGACCCGCACAAGCGGUGGAUGAUGUGGAUUAAUUCGAUGCUACGCGAAGAACCUUACCUGCUCUUGACAUGCCAGGAAGGCCUGAGAGAUCGGGCUGUGCCGAAAGGAACCUGGGCACAGGUGCUGCAUGGCUGUCGUCAGCUCGUGUCGUGAGAUGUUGUCUUAAGUGACGCAACGAGCGCAACCCUUACUACUAGUUGCCAUAAUUAAGUUUGGAACUCUAGUGGGACUGCCGGUAUUAAGCCGGA
Molecule: ribosomal RNA, 373 nt
Filed under: uncultured bacterium
Lineage: Bacteria
Description: bacterial SSU rRNA
Rfam family: Bacterial small subunit ribosomal RNA
Source: RNAcentral